AAGUCGAGCGAACAGACGAGGAGCUUGCUCCUCUGACGUUAGCGGCGGACGGGUGAGUAACACGUGGAUAACCUACCUAUAAGACUGGGAUAACUUCGGGAAACCGGAGCUAAUACCGGAUAAUAUAUUGAACCGCAUGGUUCAAUAGUGAAAGACGGUUUUGCUGUCACUUAUAGAUGGAUCCGCGCCGCAUUAGCUAGUUGGUAAGGUAACGGCUUACCAAGGCAACGAUGCGUAGCCGACCUGAGAGGGUGAUCGGCCACACUGGAACUGAGACACGGUCCAGACUCCUACGGGAGGCAGCAGUAGGGAAUCUUCCGCAAUGGGCGAAAGCCUGACGGAGCAACGCCGCGUGAGUGAUGAAGGUCUUCGGAUCGUAAAACUCUGUUAUUAGGGAAGAACAAAUGUGUAAGUAACUAUGCACGUCUUGACGGUACCUAAUCAGAAAGCCACGGCUAACUACGUGCCAGCAGCCGCGGUAAUACGUAGGUGGCAAGCGUUAUCCGGAAUUAGUGGGCGUAAAGCGCGCGUAGGCGGUUUUUUAAGUCUGAUGUGAAAGCCCACGGCUCAACCGUGGAGGGUCAUUGGAAACUGGAAAACUUGAGUGCAGAAGAGGAAAGUGGAAUUCCAUGUGUAGCGGUGAAAUGCGCAGAGAUAUGGAGGAACACCAGUGGCGAAAGGCGACUUUCUGGUCUGUAACUGACGCUGAUGUGCGAAAGCGUGGGGAUCAACAGGAUUAGAUACGCUGGUAGUCACGCGUAACGAUGA
This 768-nucleotide ribosomal RNA is filed under the name Staphylococcus epidermidis. RNAcentral's name for it is "bacterial SSU rRNA". It matches the Rfam family "Bacterial small subunit ribosomal RNA", at positions 59 to 812 of the family's 1533-position model. The record is from RNAcentral. Lineage: Bacteria; Bacillati; Bacillota; Bacilli; Caryophanales; Staphylococcaceae.